Molecule: ribosomal RNA, 497 nt
Filed under: uncultured bacterium
Lineage: Bacteria
Description: partial 16S ribosomal RNA
Rfam family: Bacterial small subunit ribosomal RNA
Source: RNAcentral
GAUGAACGCUGGCGGCGUGCCUAAUACAUGCAAGUCGAGCGAACAGACGAGGAGCUUGCUCCUCUGACGUUAGCGGCGGACGGGUGAGUAACACGUGGAUAACCUACCUAUAAGACUGUGAUAACUUCGGGAAACCGGAGCUAAUACCGGAGAAUAUAUUGAACCGCAUGGUUCAAUAGUGAAAUACGGUUUUGCUGUCACUUAUAGAUGGAUCCGCGCCGCAUUAGCUAGUUGGUAAGGUAACGGCUUACCAAGGCAACGAUGCGUAGCCGACCUGAGAGGGUGAUCGGCCACACUGGAACUGAGACACGGUCCAGACUCCUACGGGAGGCAGCAGUAGGGAAUCUUCCGCAAUGGGCGAAAGCCUGACGGAGCAACGCCGCGUGAGUGAUGAAGGUCUUCGGAUCGUAAAACUCUGUUAUUAGGGAAGAACAAAUGUGUAAGUAACUAUGCACGUCUUGACGGUACCUAAUCAGAAAGCCACGGCUAACUACGUG